Long non-coding RNA from Canis lupus familiaris (dog), 553 nucleotides. RefSeq lists it as uncharacterized. The record is from RefSeq and is a predicted model, not a curated record. The transcript is spliced from 2 exons. Lineage: Eukaryota; Metazoa; Chordata; Mammalia; Carnivora; Canidae.
CACUCACCGAUUCAGGGAGCCGGAGCCCAGCUUUGCGCGGCAGCUGCGGCCCAGGCCGGAAGGUGGACUUGGCCUGGGAGGAAACACAUCCGGUGUCAGCGGCGGCGCGGCGCGCCAGGGUGGGCUGGGCGUCCCGGAAGGACAUCCCGAGAGCGGGCCCCGCGCUCCCCGCCCCCCACUCCCGGAGCGGCGCAGCGGCGCCCGAAUCCCGCGAAAUCCAGCUCUCGGCACGCGAGCCGCGCCCCUUCGUGUUGCCGAAAAGACUGUACUCUUGUCUCUGUGAACAACUCAGUGACACGAAGUUGGGCCAUAAUACUGUUGAAGACAGUCCAUAACAACCCCAAAUACUUCAUAGCCAGCUUCAAGACAAGUACAAAUGGUAGGAGGCAGAUUCAUUAUCAGUAGGCAAUCAACAAUAGGCAACUGGAAGCUCUAUCACAUAUACAGGCCAAGAGCACUGUCACCUUAUAUCUCAGCCUAUUUUUUGCCAAAAAACAAAACAAAACAAAACAAAAAAACCACCAAAAAAAAACCAAAAAACAAAAAAAAACCC